RNAcentral lists this small RNA (772 nucleotides) under Rattus norvegicus (Norway rat). Its description in RNAcentral is "uncharacterized LOC102553625". Lineage: Eukaryota; Metazoa; Chordata; Mammalia; Rodentia; Muridae. The record is from RNAcentral.
UACUGGAAAAGCACACUGAUCAGAUCAGCAGAUCAGAUCACGGAUUAAGGUCAGUUCUCUACUGAACAUGACAGAAGGUGAGGAGAAUAAAGUCAGAGGAUAAAGCUAUUGCAACUAAUGAAUUACAAAAUUAGCAUGGAGCAGUCACAGUGACAACGAUGGAGGAAGGUAACUUCUGUGGGUCAAGUUACUCCAAGUGGAGAUGACUACAUUGUGACAUAAGCACAGGAGAAAGUUUCCUUCCCAUUGGAUCAUAUCCAUUUCUAAACAAAUACACCUAAAGCCUCUGACAAGGUGUUUAUGGGACAAAUCCUGUUUCUUAAUUGGCACAACUUAGGCCACUUGGAAUUGCAAGUUUGGACGAAUAUGGCCAUGACUUAAACAUAGCUGUAGGGAGGGCAGCAGUCAUCAAGAAUCACACAUUGGAACAUUUAAGCAGAAGAGUUUCUGCAUUUCCUGACAUCAUCCAUCUAACUUAUUUCCUUAUGCAGGUUUAUAUUUGGGAGGAAAUCUGUAAGAGUAUUCUAAUCAUAUGGAAUCUUUAUAAUCUUUCUUCAUUUGGUCUUAACUAUAACCAUCCCUAUAAUCCGCCUCUCUCUCUACUAUUUACUUAAGUUCUCCCAAUGAGCUACUAUUGUGGCUGAGAUUGGUAAUAUACCUCAGAACUUUACUUCUGAGUAAUCUGAUUCUAAGCUAUCACAUAGACCUGACACCAGGAUAGAUGAAUACAUCUGUUAACCAUGCAGUGGCAUGCACAAGCUCUUUUUUUUCC